AGCAGCCGCGGUAAUUCCAGCUCCAAUAGCGUAUAUUAAAGUUGUUGCAGUUAAAAAGCUCGUAGUUGAAUUUCGGGGUUAGUAGGUUGGUCAUGCCUCUGGUAUGUACUGGUCUCACUGAUUCCUCCUUCCUGAUGAACCUUAAUGCCAUUUAUUUGGUGUUUUGGGGAAUUUGGACUGUUACUUUGAAAAAUUAGAGUGUUUAAAGCAAGCUAACGCUUGAAUACAUUAGCAUGGAAUAAUGAAAUAGGACGUUCGAUCCUAUUUUGUUGGUUUCUAGGAUUGACGUAAUGAUUAAUAGGGAUAGUUGGGGCAUUAGUAUUCAAUUGUCAGAGGUGAAAUUCUUGGAUUUAUUGAAGACUAACUACUGCGAAAGCAUUUUGCCAAGGAUGUUUUCAUUAAUCAGGAACGAAAGUUAGGGGAUCGAAGACGAUCAGAUACCGUCGUAGUCUUAACCAUAAACUAUGCCGAACUAGGGAUCGGAUGAUGUUAAUUUUUAA
This 500-nucleotide ribosomal RNA is filed under the name uncultured Glomus. RNAcentral's name for it is "SSU rRNA". It matches the Rfam family "Eukaryotic small subunit ribosomal RNA", at positions 569 to 1073 of the family's 1831-position model. Lineage: Eukaryota; Fungi; Glomeromycota; Glomeromycetes; Glomerales; Glomeraceae. The record is from RNAcentral.